RNAcentral lists this ribosomal RNA (511 nucleotides) under uncultured candidate division MSBL2 bacterium. RNAcentral's name for it is "bacterial SSU rRNA". It matches the Rfam family "Bacterial small subunit ribosomal RNA", at positions 864 to 1367 of the family's 1533-position model. The record is from RNAcentral.
GUGUUCCGCCUGGGGAGUACGUCCGCAAGGAUGAAACUCAAAGGAAUUGACGGGGACCCGCACAAGCGGUGGAGUAUGUUCUUUAAUUCGAUGCAACGCGAAGAACCUUACCUGGGCUUGACAUCACCGAAAUCACCUUUAUACGGUGAGUGCCUCGAUUUAUCGAGGAAUCGUGUGACAGGUGCUGCAUGGCUGUCGUCAGUUCGUGUCGUGAGAUGUUGGGUUAAGUCCCGCAACGAACGCAACCCCUGUCUUUAGUUACCAGCAUUAAGUUGGGGACUCUAGAGAGACUGCCAAGGUGACAACUUGGAGGAAGGUGGGGACGACGUCAAGUCAUCAUGGUCCUUACGUCCAGGGCUAGAAACGUACUACAAUGGUUGGCACAGAGGGGAGCAACACAGCGAUGUGAAGCAAAUCCUUAAAACCAACCUCAGUUCGGAUUGGAGUCUGCAACUCGACNNCNNNAAGUUGGAAUCGCUAGUAAUCGCGGAUCAGCAAUGCCGCGGUGACG